CCUGUGACAGCGGCGGGGGUGUGAGUUCAGCUGGGGUACCAGAUGUUGAAGAACUGCCAGGUGCUAGCGAUGAUACCACGCUACAAAUGAAUAAAGAGGAUGUGGACGGGUCAAUCUUCAGCCUACCGGCACAAGUGAAUGUCUCGUGUCUAUGCUUGUGUGUUCGCCCAAAUGUUAAUAAAGCUGAUGCCUAUGUCCCUAAUGAGCCCUAUGUUAUG
Molecule: non-coding RNA, 218 nt
Organism: Lepisosteus oculatus (spotted gar)
Lineage: Eukaryota; Metazoa; Chordata; Actinopteri; Semionotiformes; Lepisosteidae
Source: RefSeq, a predicted model, not a curated record